AUUCCAGCUCCAAUAGCGUAUAUUAAAGUUGUUGCAGUUAAAAAGCUCGUAGUUGGAUUCCUGGUUAGAGCGGCCGGUCUGGUCCGAAUGGGCUAGUACUUUGAGCUGUCUUUGACCUUCCUUUGGGAGAAUCUGUGUUGUUAUUAAUUUAGCAGUGCAGGGGACCCCAAUCGUUUACUGUGAAAAAAUUAGAGUGCUUAAAGCAGGCAUUUGCUGUGAAUACAUUAGCAUGGAAUAAUAAGAUAGGACUUUGGUGCUAUUUUGUUGGUUUGCACACCAAGGUAAUGAUUAACAGGGACAGUUGGGGGUAUUCGUAUUUAAUUGUCAGAGGUGAAAUUCAUGGAUUUAUGAAAGACGAACUACUGCGAAAGCAUUUACCAAGGAUGUUUUCAUUG
Molecule: ribosomal RNA, 395 nt
Filed under: Labyrinthulaceae sp.
Lineage: Eukaryota; Bigyra; Labyrinthulida; Labyrinthulaceae
Description: partial small subunit ribosomal RNA
Rfam family: Eukaryotic small subunit ribosomal RNA
Source: RNAcentral